UUAUUCUACUGACUCCAAGUUCACGCAGCUGUUCAUCCCCUGCUUAAUGUACUGGUAGGUGAGUUCCUUGAAGCCCUGAACCGAGGACUUCUUGUGUACUUUAACAUUUGUUAUAUCUGAAGAUAUUCUGAUUGGCAACAUUUUUAACAUAGAGAACUGUUUAAAGAAAAUACCGCCAGCACACAACUCAUCCACAAAUUGCUGUUUUUGAAAAAGAUGGAGAGGCUGUGACUGAGAUCAUCAGAGAACCAGCCCGGCACCCCAAACAUAAUAGGGCAAAGGAGUCAGAUGAGAAUUUUGUUCAGUAUGAGACACUGGACAACAAGACAGGACCCUUGACCUCAGAAAUGCAGGAAUUCAGGAAUAUUAUAGAACAUGAAGUAGCAGAGCCGUGGAGGAGAAUUUAUAGCACUAAUCUUGAGCACUUUCCCCCGAGGACUCUGCGCUGUUUUCACAAAGGCCUCUCGGAAUGCCAGGCUGUGAAAGGUAGAAAUGUAAACACGGGGACAGGAGUGUCCUUCAGUCUAAAGAGUGAGCCACGCAGGUUUCUAGUUGCCAGCAUUCCAGUAGUGGUACUGGGAAAUGGUUUUAUAGGAUAAACAAAUCACCCAAAUGCAGAAAAUGCAAUUCCACUGAAGCAAAUCCAACUUCCUUUCCUGACGGAGAAUGUAAUUAAAUCCUGCUUCAGGAGGACGGUUUAUAUCCUCUGCUGCUGGGGGUCUCGGCUCAUGCUCAUCGCUGGUGUUUACAAGAUGACAUUACCUGCCUCCUGUGACAUGCUGAGGCAGCCCUGACUUUGAAGAUGGGGCGGUGGUGCAUGUGAGGGAAGGGGGAUGAGUGAGGCUGUGUUUCAUUUGCAGAGCUUGGCUGUUCAUCUCUCACAUUCACAUCUGACACCAGAAGCCCACACCAUGCUUGGCUUUUCCAAAACAGUGAUUCUAAUGUAACACCCUAAUAAGCUGUGUUAACUCACCUUUCAGAAGGAGGCUGGGGGGACAUACAUCACAACAAGUUGAGAGGAAGGGGUGAUUGUAACAAUAUUAAAUAUAAUUAUCACCAGCAGAAGUUCUAUGAGAUGAAGUGAAUGAAUCACAGCUCAUGAUGUCUUCAAAAUACAAUUAAAAGUGCAAUUUUACUUU
RNAcentral lists this long non-coding RNA (1139 nucleotides) under Homo sapiens (human). RNAcentral describes it as "HSALNT0048107". Lineage: Eukaryota; Metazoa; Chordata; Mammalia; Primates; Hominidae. The record is from RNAcentral.